ACAUCUCUAACAAGUUGGUUUUUUCUCUCAGCGUUUUAUUUGGGGAAAGAAGAGUAUAGUUAUUUGGGCUUUUGACAUCCUUAUUUUGUGGAAAGGAACACUAGGGCCUCUGAAUUCAAAGUUUAUUUAGUGGAGGUGCUUUGGAGGAGGAUUAUCUUGCUUACCCCUUUUUGGGUGAUCUUUAUCAAAGAGUUUGAAGGGAUUUCACUUAUGAUCAUUAUAGCGGAUUGGGGAGUGUUGGGACUGUAUAUUAUCAGAUCUACCUCUUUGGGCUUUGAUGGUCGCUGUAUGGGUACCCAGGACAGAUGGGUGUUGGUGUAGCCUUUACAAACCAAAGGAAGGGCAUUAUGCUGGCUUUGUUUAAAACAAUGACCAGUUUAUCAGCCAUUUAGUCAAGAUAUUAUCCCUUUUUGAAGAGUUAUGGAGGUCUUUAUUUUGUGUUGAGCAAUUUUUAUGGUUGUGGGUGAAUCUUUUGUGCUCAUUACCUAGACCUCUAGGAAUAGAAGCAGGGCACCCUGCAGAUAUGGUCGCUUUUUACAAUGCAAAUUUUGAACAUUCCAUGAAAUCCUAGGUCUCCAUAGUUGGAUUCCUAGAUUUUGAAUCUCCAAUGAAAUCCUAAGGUUUGUUUUUUCAGAUCCCUAGAAUUUCACUUGGGUGGCAGAAAAUCUUGCAAAAGCAAGGAGGACAUGGAUUCUUCAUUUUUGUAAGGGUAACUAUAAUCCUCCUUGUUGGAGGCCCAUGGUUUGUCCUCUUUUUUUUUUUUUUGCUUUUUUUGUUUUUUUUCUUUAAACUUCUUUGUUAGUCUACAAAUAUCGUGAUUGAAGGCCUUGGUUUUUCUUUUUCUUUUUCCUUUUUCAAUUGCAUUGUUAUUGUAUGGAUAUCUAUUUGUGUUGGCUUUAGGACUGUUCAUUCUUUCCGUUUUAAAUUGUUAUUCUUGCAUUGUUAUGUUAUGCUUCUUAUAAAAUGAAAGUGUUUAUGCUUCCACAUUUCACAAUAUACAUGCUUCUGAACCUUUUUUUGUCUGAUCUUGGGUAUACGAAAAAGUAGUCUACUUUUCAGCAAUAUGAUGCUGGUAAGAAAGGAAAUUAUCAGACUUGAUGUAACAUUGUCUUCUGGUUUAUCUUGGCAAAGUUUCUUUCUACCAUCCUAAGGCCUUGCAAACAUUUUAGGAAUUGCCAUUGUUCCUCCCACUCUUCCAUGUAUUUAAGUGAUGAAGAAUAAGAUAUUUUAAAUGCAACCGCUUGUGGUGAUCCAACCCAUUUGAUAAGAUAAUUUACAUUUAGUGUUGAGCCCCCAACUGUCCUUUUUCACAAGAACACUAUCCUUUCAAUCUUGGUUUUCUUUGUUUUUUUUCAGAUUCUGGAUGUGUGUGCAUACUUUUAGGAGCCUACAUCACUUAUGCCUCUCCUAAUACCUUGAGGGUUCCAUUUCUUUGCUUGUUGGGAGAUUAGUUAUUGACUUUUUUCAUCUUUAUAACCUUUAUUCACCCUACUGUUCUAUAAAGAGCCACUUCACAGACAGACAACUGGCAGUCAUUCCCAAUUUAUUCUCAGGUGCAAAAUAACUGAGGCACAUCAAAAGAACAUAGAGAUUUUUGUUGCUUUGACACAUUUCUAUGACCAUGCAGCUUUUUCGUUAUUGUGUUCCUUUUUUAUUGAGCAAUAAUACAUAUGAAAUCAGUACAAAGGGGGCAUAAGCAACUACACAUAGAUCACUCAAGAUGGGGAAAAACAAGAGUAGGCCAGGCCAAGAGGCCUUAUGUUGGCCCCACCAUAGCAAUGAAAUCAAGCAAUGUCAAACUAUCCUCCCCAAAGGAAAUCCUUAGACCAAGGAAACAAAGAUUUCAAGAUUAAGUCUUCCAUAAUCAACACAAACAACUCCAUCCCAUUGGAAGUUCUCCAGUUCCAUUCCUUUGAGAUGCACCAAAAUCAGCUGACAGAUCCCUCUUGCUGUCUCCUGCACAAGAACCUUGCCAACUGCUCUAAGACCCUUUGAAAGAAGGAGGCAACUCCCAAGAAAUUGGAUGGGAAAAAAAUGCUAGUAAGCAAUGGGGCACCAAGCAAUGCAUAUGGAUGUGAUCAUCUGUCAGGGCCCAUAUUCACUUAUGUAUCCCUAAAUGAGGGAUGCCACUAAUCUUGUUGAUUGUGGCAGUGAUUAUUGAGGUGAAUGACAUUUCAAUAGUGAUGAUUUUAUUUCUUCUGUUCUGAUGCCAAUUGUUUAUCUUUCAAAUAACUUGCAGUAAAAAAUUGACAGUGUCCUCAUCUUCUUCAAUUGA
Molecule: long non-coding RNA, 2275 nt
Organism: Vitis riparia (riverbank grape)
Lineage: Eukaryota; Viridiplantae; Streptophyta; Magnoliopsida; Vitales; Vitaceae
Exons: 2
Source: RefSeq, a predicted model, not a curated record